This is a long non-coding RNA of Macadamia integrifolia, 530 nucleotides long. RefSeq lists it as uncharacterized. Lineage: Eukaryota; Viridiplantae; Streptophyta; Magnoliopsida; Proteales; Proteaceae. The record is from RefSeq and is a predicted model, not a curated record. The transcript has 2 exons.
CCACGUCCUUCACUGCCUCUGCUACCCGGUUAGAUUAACGUCUCUCUCCUAGUCGCUGAUAUCAAUCUGUUGGGAGAAGCUGAGCAAGUCUCUGCUAUUGGUCUAUCAUUGACGCCACUGCUAUCGAUCUGUUAGGAGAAGCUGCGAAUUUCUCUGCUACUAGUACGUCUCUAUCUCCUAAAGUUCUAUUCGAGUUCGUGUGUGGUACUAUGUCUUGUUGCUGCUACUGAUAUCUGGAGAAGUCAAGCGCUAUAGACUUUAUUUUUUGUGGUUUCAGAAAACCAAGGGCUAUUUCUUGUGUGAAAGUGGAUGUGGAACAUAAUUUUGUUUCAAUUUCUAUCAGUGUUAACUGAUGCUCCUGAAACCUGGGCAGUGUGAUGUUUGUAUGGUACUUCCAUCUGCCACUGAAAGGAGCCACUGCCAUCAAUAGCUUAGUUCUUGUUCAGCAUAACAGGAAGUCCCAUAUGCUGAUCUAGUCCCAAAUGUUAACAUUUUUUUCAUUUACUCCCUUUGCUUUGUUGGUAUGUUUA